CAUUAUCCUUUUGCGUAGUAUUUUUACUAAUACUACACGCGCAAUACACUCAUGUGUUUGCGAAAAAAUGCACAUCGGCUAUAGAUGCUUGUUUAUAGCCGCUAAAAUCCAUACUUGCUUGAGUAUGGUCGGGUACCUAUGAAGUUUCUAACUUCAUAAGCAGUUUUAGCUAAAGACUGUGUGGUGUAAAGAUUAUUCAACUAUUUGAAUAACGCCCGCUUAGCUUAUUGUAAAAUACACUAUAUAAAAAUUGCAUUAAAGGUUAUUUUUGUGAUAUUUUGAUCUCCUAGUUACUUAGUGACUUUAGAGAGCAAUAUUAACACGAAAACAACCCUAUGCGGUGGAUCACUUGGCUCGCGAGUCGAUGAAGAGCGCAGCAAACUGCGUGAAUUAAUGUGAUUUGCAGGACACAUUGAUCAUCGAUAUCUUGAACGCAUAUUGCGGUUAUGGAUCGCUUCCGUGACCACGCCUGUCUGAGGGUCGGUAUUAAUAUGUAAAUAAGUGAAAAGUGAUCAUGUCGCUUUUGCUUGGCUGUUAAAGGUUUUAUCAGCUUAAGAAUAUAUUAACUAAUCUUAUGUUAGUUAAAAUACACAAUGUUGUUUCAUUAGUGUUAAUCUUUUGCUUUGAGCAAACAAAAAUUGCUUAGAUAACUCUUAUUUGUUGGCUCCUAGUUUAUAAGAUUAACCUUAAAGUGAAAUGAAUAAAAAGUGUAAUUUAUAACUUUCAUAUUUCGACCUCAGAUCAGACGAGAUUACCCGCUGAAUUUAA
This 768-nucleotide ribosomal RNA is filed under the name Euchlanis dilatata. Its description in RNAcentral is "eukaryotic LSU rRNA". The stretch from base 330 to 483 matches the Rfam family "5.8S ribosomal RNA". The record is from RNAcentral. Lineage: Eukaryota; Metazoa; Rotifera; Eurotatoria; Ploima; Brachionidae.